AAGUCGUAACAAGGUUUCCGUAGGUGAACCUGCGGAAGGAUCAUUAUAGUAUUCUAUUGCCAGCGCUUAAUUGCCGCGGCGAUAAACCUUACAACACAUUUGUCUAGUUUUUUUUGGAACUUUGCUUUGGGUGCAUCAGCCUAGCUGGCGUGCCCAAAGGUCUAAACCACAUUUUUUAAUGUUAAAAACCUUUAACCAAAUAGUCAUGAAAAUUUUUAACAAAAAUUAAAAUCUUCAAAA
RNAcentral lists this unclassified non-coding RNA (240 nucleotides) under plant metagenome. RNAcentral describes it as "partial contains small subunit ribosomal RNA and internal transcribed spacer 1". The stretch from base 1 to 46 matches the Rfam family "Eukaryotic small subunit ribosomal RNA", at positions 1786 to 1831 of the family's 1831-position model. The record is from RNAcentral.